UAGAGUUUGAUCCUGGCUCAGAACGUACGCUGGCGGCACGCCUAACACAUGCAAGUCGAACGAAGUAGCAAUACUUAGUGGCAGACGGGUGAGUAACAUGUAGGUAUCUGCCCUUUGGCCUGGAAUAACACGAGGAAACUUGUGCUAAUACCGGAUAAGUCUUUACGGAGAAAGCUUUAUGCACCAUUGGAUGAGCCUGCACUUGAUUAGUUUGUUGGUAGGGUAAUGGCCUACCAAGACUGUGAUCAAUAGCUGAUUUGAGAGGAUGAUCAGCCACAUUGGGACUGAGACACGGCCCAAACUCCUACGGGAGGCAGCAGUGGGGAAUCUUGCACAAUGGAGGAAACUCUGAUGCAGCGAUGCCGCGUGAGUGAAGAAGGCCUUUGGGUUGUAAAGCUCUUUCGUCGGGGAAGAAAAUGACUGUACCCGAAUAAGAAGGUCCGGCUAACUUCGUGCCAGCAGCCGCGGUAAUACGAAGGGACCUAGCGUAGUUCGGAAUUACUGGGCUUAAAGAGUUCGUAGGUGGUUGAAAAAGUUGGUGGUGAAAUCCCAGAGCUUAACUCUGGAACUGCCAUCAAAACUUUUCAGCUAGAGUUUGAUAGAGGAAAGCAGAAUUUCUAGUGUAGAGGUGAAAUUCGUAGAUAUUAGAAAGAAUACCAAUUGCGAAGGCAGCUUUCUGGAUCAUUACUGACACUGAGGAACGAAAGCAUGGGUAGCGAAGAGGAUUAGAUACCCUCGUAGUCCAUGCCGUAAACGAUGUGUGUUAGACGUUGGAAAUUUAUUUUCAGUGUCGCAGCGAAAGCGAUAAACACACCGCCUGGGGAGUACGACCGCAAGGUUAAAACUCAAAUGAAUUGACGGGGACCCGCACAAGUAGUGGAGCAUGUGGUUUAAUUCGAAGAUACGCGCAGAACCUUACCAACACUUGACAUGUUCGUCGCGACUCUAAGAGAUUAGAGUUUUCGGUUCGGCCGGACGAAACACAGGUGCUGCAUGGCUGUCGUCAGCUCGUGUCGUGAGAUGUUGGGUUAAGUCCCGCAACGAGCGCAACCCUCACUUUUAGUUGCCAUCAUUAAGUUGGGCACUCUGAAAGAACUGCCAGUGAUAAGCUGGAGGAAGGUGGGGAUGACGUCAAGUCCUCAUGGCCCUUACGUGUUGGGCUACACACGUGCUACAAUGGUAUUUACAACAGGAAGCAAAACGGCGACGUUAAGCAAAUCCUUAAAAAAUACCUCAGUUCGGAUUGCACUCUGCAACUCGAGUGCAUGAAGCUGGAAUUACUAGUAAUCGUGGAUCAGCGUGCCACGGUGAAUGCGUUCCCGGGUCUUGUACACACCGCCCGUCACACCAUGGGAGUUGGUUCUACCUUAAGGCAAGGUUUAAAACCCUUGACCACGGUAUAGUCAGCGACUGGGGUGAAGUCGUAACAAGGUAACCA
This 1438-nucleotide ribosomal RNA is filed under the name uncultured bacterium. RNAcentral describes it as "bacterial SSU rRNA". It matches the Rfam family "Bacterial small subunit ribosomal RNA". The record is from RNAcentral.